RNAcentral lists this ribosomal RNA (408 nucleotides) under uncultured bacterium. RNAcentral describes it as "partial 16S ribosomal RNA". It matches the Rfam family "Bacterial small subunit ribosomal RNA", at positions 28 to 526 of the family's 1533-position model. The record is from RNAcentral.
GACGAACGCUGGCGGCGUGCUUAACACAUGCAAGUCGAACGAAGUGGCGAACGGGUGAGUAACGCGUAAUCAACCUGCCCUUCAGAGGGGGACAACAGUUGGAAACGACUGCUAAUACCGCAUACUGAAGGAGGGGAUUGCGUCUGAUUAGCUAGUUGGAGGGGUAACGGCCCACCAAGGCGAUGAUCAGUAGCCGGUCUGAGGGGAGGAACGGCCAACUCGGGAAUGGGGAACGGCCCAGACUCCUAAGGGAGGCAGCAGUGGGGAAACUUCCGCAAUGGACGAAAGUCUUACGGAGCAACGCCGCGUGAGUGAUGACGGCUUUCGGGUUGUAAAGCUCUGUUAAUCGGGACGCGGUACCGAAAUAGAAAGCCACGGCUAACUACGUGCCAGCAGCCGCGGUAAUUC